Molecule: small nuclear RNA, 135 nt
Organism: Cavia porcellus (domestic guinea pig)
Lineage: Eukaryota; Metazoa; Chordata; Mammalia; Rodentia; Caviidae
Gene: U4
Rfam family: U4 spliceosomal RNA
About the family: U4 small nuclear RNA (U4 snRNA) is a component of the major U2-dependent spliceosome. The structure of U4 snRNA from yeast and human has been reported. U4 snRNA presents a k-turn RNA motif in the 5p-SL related to recognition of Snu13 protein.
Source: Ensembl
AGCUUUUUGCAGUAGUAGUAUCAUAGGCAAUAAGGUUUGUCAGGUAGGAUUAUUGCUAAUUGAAAACUAUUCCCAGUGUCUCACCAUGAUGACUUGAAAAAAUUCUUUAGUAUUUUUAUAAAUUCAAACUGGUGA